UACGGAGGGUGCGAGCGUUGUUCGGAAUCACUGGGCGUAAAGGGCGUGUAGGCGGUCUGCUAAGUCUGAUGUGAAAGCCCGGGGCUCACCCCCGGAAGGGCAUUGGAAACUGGCGGACUCGAGUCCCGGAGAGGAGGGUGGAAUUCCUGGUGUAGCGGUGAAAUGCGUAGAUAUCAGGAGGAACACCAAUGGCGAAGGCAGCUCGCUGGGACGUGACUGACGCUGAGACGCGAAAGCGUGGGGAGCAAACAGG
Molecule: ribosomal RNA, 253 nt
Filed under: uncultured bacterium
Lineage: Bacteria
Description: partial 16S ribosomal RNA
Rfam family: Bacterial small subunit ribosomal RNA
Source: RNAcentral